Mangifera indica (mango) is the source of this 336-nucleotide long non-coding RNA. RefSeq lists it as uncharacterized. The transcript is spliced from 2 exons. Lineage: Eukaryota; Viridiplantae; Streptophyta; Magnoliopsida; Sapindales; Anacardiaceae. The record is from RefSeq and is a predicted model, not a curated record.
UUCUGAUCUUUUACUGAUUCUAAGAUUCAAGGCAAAUAUAGCGUUGGAAUGAUGGGCAAGUUAGCACCUGAUCACUUAGCUGUUGAGCGCAUUGUUUGUUUCCAUAUGAUCUGGCGCAGGAUAUUUAAGAUCGGGAUUCAGGAUAGAGAAGCCAGUUUUUCACAUUUCUGUUCUCGUAUGAAUGAUAUAACACGAAUAUCUUGUGUCGACCGACAAUUGUGUUUCUGCUUGUUGAUUACUGUGUUGUAACAUCAUAUUCCCAGAAAUCCUUUGCCUUCAACACAGAAUAUGACAGAAAUUUUUUAUCAGAAAUGCUUAUGCAUUAUUGCUUGUUUA